RNAcentral lists this long non-coding RNA (613 nucleotides) under Struthio camelus australis. RNAcentral's name for it is "lncRNA (ENSSCUG00000015298.1)". Lineage: Eukaryota; Metazoa; Chordata; Aves; Struthioniformes; Struthionidae. The record is from RNAcentral.
UUUUAUUUUCCUUUUCAAUCCAAAUAUCUUCUGAUUCUAAUAAACUCUAGAAGAAAUGUCCAGACUUUUGAAGAUAUGGUUCUUAUUGGUAUUAAUGAAUCACGCUGAGAUUACACACAGUCAGAGCUCUGAAGCUCUCCUCGAUAUACUCCAUUUUCAGAGUUCUAACGUCUGGACAGCAGAUACGCUUACAAAAGUCAUGGCAUAUUUUCAUACCCAAGAAGUUAUGUUUACUCUUAGCAGUUUACAGGUUUGUACCAUUUAAAAGACAUGAGAAUUCUUAUUAAAAAAAGAGAAUGAAAAAGGCAACCUAUAUCUGUAGCCGAAACUAGGUGAUUAGUAACAGAGAAAACGAAUAGGUCUUUAUAACUUAAUAUGAAAUAGUAAUAGGAUCUUUUUUUUCUAAGACUGAAGCUAUAUACAAAGGCUAAAUAAUAAGAAAUAAGACCCUUUUGCUUCUCCUCUGAUGGAAAGGAAAAACUAGUUUUCAGGCUCAGUGUUUGUUUCUGAGUUGAGUGUAUAUGCAUGCUAUCUUCCGUUAAAUGGCAAGAUUCUCCCAGACUAUGACGUGGCUGUAGUUUGCAUUGCUUCUGGUGGAGUGGGAGGCUCUGGG